Molecule: ribosomal RNA, 437 nt
Filed under: uncultured bacterium
Lineage: Bacteria
Description: bacterial SSU rRNA
Rfam family: Bacterial small subunit ribosomal RNA
Source: RNAcentral
CAGAAUGAACGCUAGCCAUAGGCUUAACACAUGCAAGUCGAACGUUUUGAAUUGAAAACGUGGCGAACGGGUGAGUAAUGCGUAAGAAUCUACCUCAGAGUCUAAGCAAGAGAGAUUCUCGAAUCUUAGAUACACAAAAGGUAUAAGUCCGCUCUGAGAUGAGCUUGCGUAGGAUUAGGUAGUUGGUAAGGUAAAGGCUUACCAAGCCAAAGAUCCUUAGCUGGUCUAAGAGGACGAUCAGCCACACUGGGACUGAGACACGGCCCAGACGCUUCCGAGCGGCAGCAGUGAGGAAUCUUGGACAAUGAGCGAAAGCUUGAUCCAGCCAUAAUGGCGUGAGUGAUGAAGACUGUUUUGGUUGUAAAGCUCUUUCCUUGAGAUUGGAUUGUGACACCAUUCAAGAAACAAGUCCCGGCUAAUCUCGUGCCAGCCGCAGC